GUGCUCGCUUUGGCAGCACAUAUACUAAAAUUGAAACAAUACAGAGAAGAUCAGCAUGGCCUCUGUGCAAGGAUGACAUGCAAAUUCGUGAAGCGUUCCAUAUUUUU
This is a small nuclear RNA of Gorilla gorilla gorilla (western lowland gorilla), 107 nucleotides long. The record is from Ensembl. NCBI's taxonomy places the organism in Eukaryota, Metazoa, Chordata, Mammalia, Primates, Hominidae.